RNAcentral lists this small RNA (328 nucleotides) under Fukomys damarensis (Damara mole-rat). RNAcentral's name for it is "7SK RNA (ENSFDAG00000001935.1)". The stretch from base 1 to 207 matches the Rfam family "7SK RNA". Rfam says of the family: 7SK was discovered as an abundant small nuclear RNA in the mid-70s but a possible function has only recently been suggested. Two independent studies have found that 7SK RNA binds the CDK9/cyclin T complex (known as elongation factor P-TEFb). P-TEFb activates transcription by phosphorylating the C-terminal domain of RNA polymerase II. The record is from RNAcentral. Lineage: Eukaryota; Metazoa; Chordata; Mammalia; Rodentia; Bathyergidae.
ACAUUGAGGGCAAUCUGGCUGAAACAUCUGUCACCCCAUUGAUCGCCAGGGUUGACUGGGCUGAUCUGGCUGGCUAGGCGGGUGUCCCCUUCCUCCCUCCCCACUCCACGUGCGUCCCUCCCGAAGCUGCGUGCUUGGUGGAGGAGGACGACCACCCCCGACAGAGGAGGACCAUUUUUUUCUUUUAUAGAUGAAGGCAUAUGGGAAGAGACUGCUAUAGAGCGAGCUGAGGCGAAGCUAAAGGGAGCGAGGGGUCCUGAGUGUGGCGUUCGGGCUGCACCUGCUCCGCAGCCACAGCAAACCCUUUCACCUGUGUGGCUCUCUUGCU